CAACAUUUUGAAACUGAUAUGGAAAGUCUUGAACAAAUGAAAAACUCUAAAGAUAGAAACAUAGAUCCAUGUAGCAUCAUGAUAGAUGUUGCUAUGUAUGAUGAAGGCAACCCGAUUAUGGAAUGGUUGUGCAGUUCUAGGAGUGAAUCAGUGCCGACACUUGAUGAAAAUGAUGAGUCUGAAUCGCCUAACAGACCAAGUGGAUUCGUUUUAGAAGAGUUAGGAGGAUUGAAUGAAGAAGAGAUGGUUCUUUUAAAUUCUAGGAUUGGUUCUGGUAGGAAAAAUGGUAGGAAAAGGAAUGAUGUAGAAGAAGAUAUUGGAGAUGAUUUCUUAUCAGAUAGUAGUGAGGGAGGAGGUAGCCCAACCUACAACGAAUCAGGUGAUAGUGACUCUAAUGAUGGUGAGUUCAAUUUUGAGUUAAUUAUGCACUAUUUGUCAUGUCCUUUUUAUGAUUCAAAUUAUCUUCAAUAUCAUUGUGAAAGGUGGUGGUGAUGACGAAGAUGGUGAACCUAGUGGUCCAUGUUUUGCAGCUAGGACACAACCUAAAUUAGCUACAGACCAAUAUAAUGGUCCUGGUCAAGAUGAACAAGCAGUGCCUCUCCGUCCAAGAUCAAAAAGGCAGAAGAAGCUCUCCAUCAAGGGUCUGUACAUGCUUCAGAAGUGAUCUAAUCUUCAAGCACAAGCACAAGAAUAUGGCGUAUACAUGGACUGAUUCAAUGGCAAGAUUUUGAACAUGUGGCUCUAUUGUAUCAAUUGUGUG
Molecule: unclassified non-coding RNA, 760 nt
Filed under: Zea mays
Lineage: Eukaryota; Viridiplantae; Streptophyta; Magnoliopsida; Poales; Poaceae
Description: misc RNA Zm00001eb332670
Source: RNAcentral